AAGUGCAGACAAGUUCUUGUGUAGUCUAGAAAAGAAAAGGGAGUUGCAGAGAAAGUAUUUGCAGUUUUUCUCCUGUGCUACCCACAGGGCAGGUGUUUGGAUUAUUAAUGAGUCACCUGGCUCUUAACAUAAAAAUAUCUGUAAGGUAGAGAAGGGUAGUUCAUCACGUUACUCCGUUCCAAUUCCUUAAGGAGACUCAUAAUCACUGCUCUCUUCUGUUCUCACCAAGCCAGCUGCCUAUUGCUAACUGUGCUUUCGCAUGAACACCAUCCCCUCCCCCAACCCCCAGGAAGGACAUGUUCCUUACAGGUGGGUCAGUAGUUCUGGGAUCAAACAAAAUCUUACACUUAAAUAAUUGACAAUUAGGGAUUUAAAUAGGUUGUUUUUCAUUAGAUUAUCGUGAAUCCAUUCCAUUAUACUUGUUUCAGCCUGGGGGAACCAAACUAAACUCCUUUUCUGAAACAGCAAAAAGUCAGCCACUGAAUCCUGGUGAAGACAAGGGUACAGACCCCUGUGAGCCUGAAGCGCUAAUGACCAUCUGGCCUCACCCAUUUCUAAACCAUUCAUCAUAGAAGUUCAGUGUUUGUGAAUUAUUCUUCCCAUAUGCAUUUUAAGGUUAUUCCAAGACUCUAAAGAAAACUUAAAUGCCUGCCGCCACCCUUCGGAUUAGAACUGUACCACGGGUUCUCCUGGUUCUCUGGCUUUCCGACGCAGACUGGAGCCCCACCAUCAGCUCUCCUGGGUCUCCAGCUUGUUGACUCACCCUGCAGAUCUCAAGACUUGUCAGCCUCCAUAAUUGGGUGUGCCAAUUCUGUAUAAUAAAUCUUUUUCUACAAAUAUA
Miniopterus natalensis is the source of this 841-nucleotide long non-coding RNA. RefSeq lists it as uncharacterized. The record is from RefSeq and is a predicted model, not a curated record. NCBI's taxonomy places the organism in Eukaryota, Metazoa, Chordata, Mammalia, Chiroptera, Miniopteridae.